AGUUUUUUCAUGCUCUUCUGAAUCUUUCCUUAUUAUUAUAAUUCUCGGAUUAAUUGUUUUUUUAAGACUAUAUCAAAUCUAGAUGUUUUUCUUCUUAGUCUGUAUAUAUAAUGUUUUUAUAAUGAUUUUCUUGAUUUUAUAUGUCUGAGGUCUGUGCUGAUCGAGUUCAAAGUCCAAGAGAGAAACUUAUUGUUGGUUCCGUGCUCUUUGAAAAUUGGGGCAUGAGAAAUCAUAGGCCAUUCAGAGAAGAUCUCUACCACAUAAUUAUCUUACUCCGGAUGUGAUGAAUGUUGAUUUCUCUAGAGAAAAAGCAAAAAAUCUAUUGCAGGUUGCAACUAAGACGAACUGGUUAGCUGGUGACGCUACCACUACUGCAAUUGUUUGGCUCAUGAAAUGAUCAAAGCUAUUGUUUGCUGUCAAUUUUGGGGCUAACCCUGUAUCUAUGAUAGUAUGGAGCAGACAGUAAGAAAUCUGGUCAAAACUUUGAAGAUGAAAAGCGAUCUUGUUGGGGGAAAUGAUGAUAUAAAAGGCAACUUCAAUAUCAGCUGGAAGUGAUGAGUACACUGGCAGUUUGAUUGCUGAGGUAAUUAAGAAGAGUGGUCCUGAUGGAGUGAUGUGUCGAGUCGUCUUCAUCUGCUGCAGGAAGAUCAAUUCAUCAAGUUGUGACUUAAAGAGAAGUGGUCAAGGAGAAUUGUAUAACCCAAGCUACAAACCAAAGGAGAAUGGCUUCGGUGUUCCUCAUUACGAAUAUUUCCAUAAGCAUAUGCUAGCAUGUCUUAAAAGUCCUUUCUGAAAGACAAUGUUCAAGUAACAUUAGAAGGGGAGCAAUAUGUUUGGCUGUUGUAGAUAUUAGACGUACAAAGAUUAGAAAAUUUAGAAAGACGAUUGAUUCCAUUACAGUGGACUAACUAAAUUUUGUCAAGAA
Long non-coding RNA from Capsicum annuum, 925 nucleotides. RefSeq lists it as uncharacterized. The record is from RefSeq and is a predicted model, not a curated record. NCBI's taxonomy places the organism in Eukaryota, Viridiplantae, Streptophyta, Magnoliopsida, Solanales, Solanaceae. The transcript has 5 exons.